GCCUACUCUUAAAGGACCACGUCUUAUCCUUUGUCUCCUGAAAGCAUAGCCCAGAACACAGGAGACUCUCCACCAGUAUUUGUGUACUGAAUAAAGGAAUGAAGGAAACCUUCAGGCCUUCCCUCCUCAGAAGAAUCCUAAAAGGAACUUGAUUCAGGGAAAGACUUCAACUCAAAGGGGCUGGUAGGCCAUUUUAAAUGGAACAGAUGGAAGGCCAUCUUCAAAGGUACUGCCUACCUGAACCUGCCUUGUCCCAAAGGACACACUUCAAUCUGGGGAGAGUUUAAAGUUGUAGACAUAUCCAUUUUCAUUUAAGGAAUAUGAAGAUCAGGGAGGCAAAAUAUAGAGAUAUAGAGAGGAAAAACUGAGAGAUGAUCAGAAAUUCAGACGCAUUCGGAAUGAGCACCCUUGACCAUACCAAGAACAAAGACUCUAUAAAAAUGUGAAGUCUUAUUAUUGUUCAUCCAUGUUCUACGUGGGAUCCACCCAAGACAUUGAAAACUGUACAGAACAGGGUGAAAUUGAAUCAGAUCAUUCUGUACUCCUAACAAGGUCCACCCCAUGAGAGACUUGCAGCAGAAUUAAUGACACUGUAUAUUUUCCUCUACUAACAACAACAAGAACAACAACAACAACAAUCUAGGAAAAUCAAAGGCAGCCCGACAUGGAAAAAAACACAAAAUGAAUAUUUGGAUUACAAAUAGUGUGAUGGGAAGAACACACUGCCAAAAGUCCACCUAGUAUGUUGAAAUUACUGUUUCUAGCACAUAUAAGAUUUGCUGCCAAUUUGUACUGACUUCUGAAAAAUACUUUAUCCAUUGUCUUCUUACAUCAGAAUCAACUCCCUAAAUUCUUCAGCACUGGCUUUGUAAACUGGUUUCUGGUCUUUGUUUCUGUCAACUUACCUAUAAAAGGAUACAAAAACUGAAGAACAGAGAGGAGCAGAUACCCUGGAAAGCCGAAAGUUUUAUUGACCAAAGACUGAGUCUCGGAAUGUUUUGAUUGUGGAGUUUAUAGAGUUCAGGCUGAAGUUUUAUAAAAAUAACUUGCAGCAGCAUGGAGGACUGAUGAGAAAGUAGACAGAUGCUGGAAGCAGGAAAACUGAACAGCAGGUCACUGGCCAAGGAGAAUCAAAGAGCUAGAUGCUGAGAAUAAUGCAGCCAUAACGUGAAAUCUUUUUGAGGCUCCGUGGUGGUCUUAAAAUAUAUCCACAAAUUUUCUGACAUCCUCUCUUCAAGAAGUGGAGCUUAAUUCCCUUUCCUUUGAGUGCAGACCACUCACUCUGGGAGAAAGCAACUGGCUAUGUCAUGAGGAAAUUGAAACCACCUAUGGAGAAAGGCCCACAUGAAUUCUGUAAGUCUGCUACGGUGACAUUUCUGGUUAGGAGUCAGAGUGGAUGGGACACUGAGCAAUAAGAAUGCAGAGACAUGAUGGCUGAAGCUGGAGCUUUUCCCUGAAGCAACCACCUGUUGGAAACUUCAUGUUGAAGAUGACUGAAUAAUAAGACAGAGGGGUCUGGGUCCCUGGUGGAUAUUCCAGAUCUGGGUGUUCGUGGAGAUAUGAGAAAGCAAUAAACUUCAAUUUUGCUUAAAUAGCUGUUACUUGGGGCAUUCUGUCAUUUAUGGACA
This 1628-nucleotide long non-coding RNA is filed under the name Homo sapiens (human). RNAcentral's name for it is "HSALNT0042496". Lineage: Eukaryota; Metazoa; Chordata; Mammalia; Primates; Hominidae. The record is from RNAcentral.